This 164-nucleotide unclassified non-coding RNA is filed under the name uncultured Penicillium. RNAcentral's name for it is "sequence contains ITS2". The record is from RNAcentral. Lineage: Eukaryota; Fungi; Ascomycota; Eurotiomycetes; Eurotiales; Aspergillaceae.
CUGCCCUCAAGCCCGGCUUGUGUGUUGGGCCUCGUCCCCCCUCCGGGGGACGGGCCCGAAAGGCAGCGGCGGCACCGUGUCCGGUCCUCGAGCGUAUGGGGCUUUGUCACCCGCUCUGUAGGCCCGGCCGGCGCCUUAGCCGACGACACAAUCUUUUUUUCAGG